GGGAAUUUUGGACAAUGGGGGCAACCCUGAUCCAGCCAUCCCGCGUGUGCGAUGAAGGCCUUUGGGUUGUAAAGCACUUUUGGCAGGGAAGAAACAGCCUGGGCUAAUAUCCCGGGCGACUGACGGUACCUGCAGAAUAAGCUCCGGCUAACUACGUGCCAGCAGCCGCGGUAAUACGUAGGGAGCAAGCGUUGUCCGGAUUUACUGGGUGUAAAGGGUGCUCAGGCGGAUUUGUAAGUCAGAGGUGAAAUCUCACAGCUUAACUGUGAAACUGCCUUUGAUACUGCAAGCCUAGAGUAUGGAAGAGAGUGAUGGAAUAUCUGGUGUAGCAGUGAAAUGCGUAGAUAUCAGAUAGAACACCAAUGGCGAAGGCAGUCACUUGGUCCACUACUGACGCUAAAGCACGAAAGCGUGGGUAGCAAACA
This 425-nucleotide ribosomal RNA is filed under the name uncultured bacterium. RNAcentral's name for it is "bacterial SSU rRNA". It matches the Rfam family "Bacterial small subunit ribosomal RNA", at positions 357 to 774 of the family's 1533-position model. The record is from RNAcentral.